CUGUAAAGCUCUGUGACUCAGAAACAUUAUGAUGCUUCUAUUUUAAAUAGUUUCUCCAGGCUUUCCUUUGUGAUGCUUUUCAACUCAAGAAAAAGAGAGAAAAAGAAAAAAAAAAAGCUGCAUGACUGCAGGUUAAAAAAGGAAGAAGAAAAAGAAGAAAACAAACAAUGAAGAGCGUGAAGCAGGAAGGGAGCCAGGAUGGGGCCAUGUGCGUGAUUCACAGCUCCUGCCCUACACUCCUGUAUAGGCUGCAAAUGCAUUUGCUCCCACCUUUCUGGUCAGCCUUCAGUCCUGGGCUCUGGGAACCAAGUGGUGCACACAUAAGGAUACAAUGGUGUGAAUGUCAUUAAAGGAGAAGAAAAUUCAUCAUCUUAUACACUGAAAUGGUACGAUCUUUCCAUAUUAUCCUUGCUUAUUUGCUGUAGCAUUUAAGAGUUAAUGUUUCCUAAGAUGUGUUUGGGUUUUAAAUAAAACAUGAGAUCUAGAAUACAGUAUCUAGUGACACUGAGCAUCUUCCCAAAGCGCAGGUAAGAG
This 534-nucleotide long non-coding RNA is filed under the name Gallus gallus (chicken). RNAcentral's name for it is "lncRNA (ENSGALG00010006358.1)". The record is from RNAcentral. Lineage: Eukaryota; Metazoa; Chordata; Aves; Galliformes; Phasianidae.